This is a non-coding RNA of Hordeum vulgare subsp. vulgare (domesticated barley), 136 nucleotides long. The record is from Rfam. Lineage: Eukaryota; Viridiplantae; Streptophyta; Magnoliopsida; Poales; Poaceae.
UAUAUACUCCUUCCGAUCUAUAAUUCUUGCCUUAGCUUUGUUUAAAAAUGUAUGUAUCUAAAUACUAAAAAUUAACUAGAUACAUUUAUAUCUAAAUAAAUCUAAGAUAAGAAUUUUGAAACGGAAGGAGUAUUAG